RNAcentral lists this small nuclear RNA (104 nucleotides) under Pteropus vampyrus (large flying fox). Lineage: Eukaryota; Metazoa; Chordata; Mammalia; Chiroptera; Pteropodidae. The record is from RNAcentral.
GUUCUCACUUUGGCAGCACAUAUAUUAAAAUUGGAAUGAUAUAGAGAUUAACAUGGCCCCUGCGCAAGAAUGACACACAAAUUCGUGACGUAUUCCAUAUUUUA